Molecule: RNA transcript, 2070 nt
Organism: Vidua chalybeata
Lineage: Eukaryota; Metazoa; Chordata; Aves; Passeriformes; Viduidae
Gene name: nucleolar pre-ribosomal-associated protein 1-like
Exons: 6
Source: RefSeq, a predicted model, not a curated record
GCGCAGAGAGACCUUUGUCAUCCACGCUGCCAAAAGGAGCACCUGGUACACCCUAUAGGUGUGCCUUGUGUUUCACGUGUUUUCAUUUCCUGUUUGUGUCAUCCCAAAAAGCAGGGACGGAGCAAAUGGGACUGGUUCCCACUGUUGCUGGGUGAAGGCUUUUUACAGGCUGCUGUAUUGAUGUCAUCUUUUUUUCACCCCAAGUUUGGCUUUUCCCAUGCUUUUCCCGUAGCUGCUGCAUUGGGUGUCCCCAGGAGGGCUGGGUUCCUCAGCAGGGGUCUUAGGAGUUGCUAUGGAUUCUGAUUUUUCUGAAGCUGUAUGGAAGUGUGCUAGCGAAUCAGCUCUUUUCUCUCCUGAAAAGCUUUCCAUCUAUGUCCACCCGUGCGUCUCUGUGUUUUAAUCACGUAGCCGGACGCGCUGAGGUUCUUACUUUCUAAGCCAAAAGCUGAAGCAGAUGACCGUUUGCUUUGUGUGUGUGAGGAGUGGCAUUUGUGCUGGAGAGCUGCGGUUGGGAACAAAAGAUGGACUUAAUGUGCUCUGGGGACGGGCACGGGAGGAAACGCACAGAAAGGCAAGGCAGUGAUGAUUGCGGAGGAGAAAUGAGAGGUGGUUGCUUCCGAUCCGUGGGGACUUUCCUUGGGAGUGAUCGAUCAGAGAGCGUAUGGAAGUAGAGAGCAUCUUCUGGCUGCUUCUGUUCUGUAAACUUCUCCCUGGCUUCACAGGUCCGUGCUGGAGAGUGGGAGAAGGGUCCCUGCUGGCUGCCGUGUCCUGGGUGGGCACAGAGCUCUGACCUCGGCCAGAUGGGCUGGUUUCCGGGUGUUUUGAUCCUGACGUCGCCAAAGCCUCAGGUUUGCUGAAUUGGGGCUCUUACCUGUGUGACCCGUGAAAUGUCCCGGAAGCUGAUCGAUGUCUUCCUGCUCCCGCUGUGUUCAUUUGGGCUGUGCUUCAGGCUUCUCUCCCUGGGCCCUUGCCGUUGCCGUAUCUCUUGGAUGCCGUGCAGAACGGAAUCAGGCAGCCAAGCCUCAGGUUCGCCUUCUCCCUCACCCUCUGCGCUGCUCGUGUGGCACAGCAGAUCCUGAAGCCAGAGGAGCACGUGUACAUAAGGGUAAAGAGAUUCCUUCUGUCACACCGGUAUUUGGACCUGAGGAAGGUACCAGGUUUUCUCCAGCUUUUCUACAGUUUUGAUUUUGAGUACAAAACAGCACGAGUGGAUCCUCAGAUUUCUUGGGGAAGGGCUGCGUGACAAACAUUGCUGUGAGCUCUGUGUCUACCAGAGGAUUUUCCGGGUCAUUCUUUCCCUUCUCAGCAGUCCUUUGUGUGACCAGGGCUCCCAGAGUCCUAUUCUGGAGAUACGACAGAGUGCUGCCCGUGUCACCUCUAGAGCUGCCCAUGAGCCGAUAGAGGAUCACAGCCUCCUCUCGUGGGUCCUGCACGGCUUAGAGAAAAGGACCUGCUGCACAGGAAGUGGCACAGCAAUGGAUUUGAGCUGUCUAGAACGUUACUUCUCCUCCCCUUGCCUCUCCCUGACAAAAAAAAUCUCUUCUGCAAGCACAGAGUGCCCUGACAGGUUCAGGCAAGUGCACCAAAAGUGCCCUAGAAUAUGGUCCCCCGUAGGAGAUGGACCAGCUGCUGGUGAGGAUCUGCCUUUCAAAUGUGGUUUUCUUUUCUUUUUUUUCUUUUUGUUCUGUUUCAUUUUGUUUUUCAGGUUUCUGGAGAACCAGGUGAUAAAUAAAAUGAUUUCCUUACUCCAUCCUUUGUGGCUAAUAAAUUUAGGAGACAAGAGAGAAAACAGGAAUCGAUCCCAGAUGCUGCUGUUGAGAUGGAUAUAUGAUCUAUCUAUCUGUAUAUAGAUAUAUGUAUAUACAUAUAUCUGUGUAGUGAUAAUAAUGGGAUUUUUUAUGAUACGUUGCUUCACCGUUUUAUAUUUUUAAUAAAGUGUGAUUUUAAGUUAUUAGUUAUGAUAUUUUAUUAUAGUUAUUGGCUAAAGUAACAUUUUCUUGUAUUUUAUUGGUAUCAAGUAAUUAAUGUUAAUCAUUAAUUGGUAAGAGUUUAUAAUGAAUUAUUAAGCUA